RNAcentral lists this ribosomal RNA (309 nucleotides) under uncultured bacterium. RNAcentral's name for it is "bacterial SSU rRNA". It matches the Rfam family "Bacterial small subunit ribosomal RNA", at positions 28 to 324 of the family's 1533-position model. The record is from RNAcentral.
GACGAACGCUGGCAGCGUGCUUAACACAUGCAAGUCGAGGGCACUUCGGGGGCAACCCUGGAGUGACCGGCGAACGGGUGCGUAACACGUGAGCGACCUUGCCUCGUGGUGGGGGAUAGCCGGCCCAACGGCCGGGUAAUACCGCAUAGGGUGCUGACUCCGCAUGGAGACGGCAGCAAAGCCCUGGAGCAAUCCAGUGGCGCCACAGGGGGGCUCGCGGCCUAUCAGCUAGGUUGGGGGGUAAUGGCCCACCAAGGCGACGACGGGUAGCUGGUCUGAGAGGAUGGUCAGCCACAGUUGGGACUGAGA